CGACCCCAGGUCAGGCGGGACUACCCGCUGAGUUUAAGCAUAUAAAUAAGCGGAGGAGAAGAAACUUACGAGGAUUCCCCUAGUAACGGCGAGCGAACCGGGAGAUGCCCAGCUUGAGAAUCGGG
This 125-nucleotide non-coding RNA is filed under the name Oryza sativa Indica Group (long-grained rice). RNAcentral's name for it is "Eukaryotic large subunit ribosomal RNA". It matches the Rfam family "Eukaryotic large subunit ribosomal RNA", at positions 1 to 125 of the family's 3401-position model. The record is from Rfam by way of RNAcentral. Lineage: Eukaryota; Viridiplantae; Streptophyta; Magnoliopsida; Poales; Poaceae.